UGGGGAAUAUUGGACAAUGGGCGAAAGCCUGAUCCAGCCAUGCCGCGUGUGUGAAGAAGGUCUUCGGAUUGUAAAGCACUUUAAGUUGGGAGGAAGGGCAUUAACCUAAUACGUUAGUGUCUUGACGUUACCGACAGAAUAAGCACCGGCUAACUCCGUGCCAGCAGCCGCGGUAAUACGGAGGGUGCAAACGUUGCUCGGAAUCAUUGGGCGUAAAGCGCACGUAGGCGGCGAAGCAAGUCGGGUGUGAAAGCCCUGGGCUCAACCCAGGAAGUGCAUUCGAAACUGGCAAGCUAGAGUAUGGUAGAGGGUAGUGGAAUUUCCUGUGUAGCGGUGAAAUGCGUAGAUAUAGGAAGGAACACCAGUGGCGAAGGCGACUACCUGGACUGAUACUGACACUGAGGUGCGAAAGCGUGGGGAGCAAACA
Molecule: ribosomal RNA, 427 nt
Filed under: uncultured bacterium
Lineage: Bacteria
Description: bacterial SSU rRNA
Rfam family: Bacterial small subunit ribosomal RNA
Source: RNAcentral